UAGUUGAUUUACAAUGCUACGUCAGUUUCAGAUGUACAACAAAGUGAAUCAGUUAUACAUUUACAUGUAUCUACUAUUUUUUUAGAUUCUUUUCUCUUAUAGAUCAUUACAAAGUAGUGAGUAGAGGUAAAAUAAGGAACUAAAGGAAGCUAGGAUAAAAAUGAAUGAAAAGCCACCCCUGUCCCUUUCAAAUAGAGCUGGUGUGUUCUGUGGGGAUUCGCCAAUGGUCCAUGAGAGAGCAGUGAGUCUUCUCCCAGAAAGGAGUCCUUGGCCAGGGUUUCUCUUUCCCAGUGACUAAGUCGCUGGGCAAGGGAAGCGAAGCCUGAAAUGCUCGGGAUUGCUGUGAGGGGAAGUCAGCCCGACAGGCUGAGUUGCCUUUCUUGUCCUUGGCAUUGUAACAGUGCACGAUCCUCUGUUGUUCCUGGAACCACUCGAGCAUAUAAUGAAUGGAGUACCAGUGAUUGGAAACGGUCGGCCUGCAAUGAUAUUUCCGCAAGUUGUUUUCUUUCUACAACUUGCUGAUCCACUGAUUGUCAUUUCAUCAGUUGAGUUUCUGUGCUGUAGACACCAUCUCACUGGAAAAGAUGGAGGAUAGGAGAGGAGAAAGGAGCGACAGAAGAUGAAAUGGUCGGAUGACAUCACUGACUCAAUGGAUAUGAGUCUGAGCAAACUCCAAGGGAUUGUGAAAGACAGGGAAGCCUGGCAUGCUGCAGUCCAUGGGACUGCAAAGAGUCAGACACGACUUAGCAACUAAACAGCAACAGAUGCCAUGAAGACAACAUCUUAACUCAAUGGCUACACACUGGAAGGUAGAGUUCCUUCUUCCAUUACUGUUGACACACUGUGCCGUAAUGCUUUAUAGAAAGCCCCAACUCUAGUCCAUCUUUAAUAUAAAACCACAGAAUUGACCACAAGGCCUACUUCAUACCUUCCAGAAGCCCCAUCCAGAUUAUUCUUCAUAACUCCCAGCAUGCAAGAAAAACGAAAACCCAAAAAUCCAAGCUAAACUGUUAAAUUUAUAGAAUUUAAAGUAUUGAAUCAACCAGCUUAAUUUUCAGAUUUCCAUUCAAGUUAAUGUAAUUUUUUUUCUUUUGAGCUCCUUAAAGUGUUUUUGAUUUCCCACAUUAUCUCCUACCAUGAACACUUUUCUCCAGCUCCACUAAGGAGCUCCUUCUUUCUAGUUUUUACCUUAUUUUCCCAGCCACUCAGAUUCUGCUUCCACAGUCACAUGUCUUGUAUGUGUCCUCCCCACUGAUGGUCCUUCAUUAAUCUACCAGCAAAUUUAUG
This 1287-nucleotide long non-coding RNA is filed under the name Ovis aries (sheep). RNAcentral's name for it is "lncRNA (ENSOARG00000025612.1)". The record is from RNAcentral. Lineage: Eukaryota; Metazoa; Chordata; Mammalia; Artiodactyla; Bovidae.